This 900-nucleotide ribosomal RNA is filed under the name Pseudomonas azotoformans. RNAcentral's name for it is "bacterial SSU rRNA". It matches the Rfam family "Bacterial small subunit ribosomal RNA", at positions 33 to 928 of the family's 1533-position model. The record is from RNAcentral. Lineage: Bacteria; Pseudomonadati; Pseudomonadota; Gammaproteobacteria; Pseudomonadales; Pseudomonadaceae.
ACGCUGGCGGCAGGCCUAACACAUGCAAGUCGAGCGGUAGAGAGAAGCUUGCUUCUCUUGAGAGCGGCGGACGGGUGAGUAAUGCCUAGGAAUCUGCCUGGUAGUGGGGGAUAACGUUCGGAAACGGACGCUAAUACCGCAUACGUCCUACGGGAGAAAGCAGGGGACCUUCGGGCCUUGCGCUAUCAGAUGAGCCUAGGUCGGAUUAGCUAGUUGGUGAGGUAAUGGCUCACCAAGGCGACGAUCCGUAACUGGUCUGAGAGGAUGAUCAGUCACACUGGAACUGAGACACGGUCCAGACUCCUACGGGAGGCAGCAGUGGGGAAUAUUGGACAAUGGGCGAAAGCCUGAUCCAGCCAUGCCGCGUGUGUGAAGAAGGUCUUCGGAUUGUAAAGCACUUUAAGUUGGGAGGAAGGGUUGUAGAUUAAUACUCUGCAAUUUUGACGUUACCGACAGAAUAAGCACCGGCUAACUCUGUGCCAGCAGCCGCGGUAAUACAGAGGGUGCAAGCGUUAAUCGGAAUUACUGGGCGUAAAGCGCGCGUAGGUGGUUUGUUAAGUUGGAUGUGAAAUCCCCGGGCUCAACCUGGGAACUGCAUUCAAAACUGACUGACUAGAGUAUGGUAGAGGGUGGUGGAAUUUCCUGUGUAGCGGUGAAAUGCGUAGAUAUAGGAAGGAACACCAGUGGCGAAGGCGACCACCUGGACUAAUACUGACACUGAGGUGCGAAAGCGUGGGGAGCAAACAGGAUUAGAUACCCUGGUAGUCCACGCCGUAAACGAUGUCAACUAGCCGUUGGAAGCCUUGAGCUUUUAGUGGCGCAGCUAACGCAUUAAGUUGACCGCCUGGGGAGUACGGCCGCAAGGUUAAAACUCAAAUGAAUUGACGGGGGCCCGCACAA